RNAcentral lists this ribosomal RNA (497 nucleotides) under uncultured bacterium. RNAcentral's name for it is "partial 16S ribosomal RNA". It matches the Rfam family "Bacterial small subunit ribosomal RNA", at positions 28 to 507 of the family's 1533-position model. The record is from RNAcentral.
GAUGAACGCUGGCGGCGUGCCUAAUACAUGCAAGUCGAGCGAACAGACGAGGAGCUUGCUCCUCUGACGUUAGCGGCGGACGGGUGAGUAACACGUGGAUAACCUACCUAUAAGACUGGGAUAACUUCGGGAAACCGGAGCUAAUACCGGAUAAUAUAUUGAACCGCAUGGUUCAAUAGUGAAAGACGGUUUUGCUGUCACUUAUUGAUGGAUCCGCGCCGCAUUAGCUAGUUGGUAAGGUAACGGCCUACCAAGGCAACGAUGCGUAGCCGACCUGAGAGGGUGAUCGGCCACACUGGAACUGAGACACGGUCCAGACUCCUACGGGAGGCAGCAGUAGGGAAUCUUCCGCAAAGGGCGAAAGCCUGACGGAGCAACGCCGCGUGAGUGAUGAAGGUCUUCGGAUCGUAAAACUCUGUUAUUAGGGAAGAACAAAUGUGUAAGUAACUAUGCACGUCUUGACGGUACCUAAUCAGAAAGCCACGGCUAACUACGUG